RNAcentral lists this long non-coding RNA (8088 nucleotides) under Pan troglodytes (chimpanzee). RNAcentral's name for it is "long non-coding RNA NONPTRT010893". Lineage: Eukaryota; Metazoa; Chordata; Mammalia; Primates; Hominidae. The record is from RNAcentral.
CUCUCCUGAGUCUGCCGUGUUUUAGUUUUGUGAUCUUACAACCAUGUUUAAGUCUAAAAAUAAGAGUUAGAAGUAGGACUGGCACAUGUCACUAUAUUUAAUUUAAUGAACUCUAACAGGAUUUUUGUUUCUAAACCCAGGACAUUGAGAUCUGCUGAUUGGAGAUCUUAGUGCCCAAGGAAGAAUGCUUGCAAAAGGAGAUGGAACAGUGUUUCUGUUGCAUUGGCCACUGAGAAUAUCUGGUUAUUUUGAAUUUGUCACAGUCUGCAGCUAAAAGGUGAACAGGAAAAGAAGAGAGAGCGGUAAUUUGAAUGAUAGCAGAUUUCACAUCAGGAACCAAUGAAGCUAGAUAAGAAUGCAACAUCUUUGAUGUCUAAAAGAAACAAAAAGCCAACCUUGAAUUCUUUAUUUAGUGAAGUUACCCUUCAGAAAUGACGGCAAAAUAAAGAUGUUUUCCAAUAAAAGACAACUAUGAGAAUUCUUCACCAGCAGUCCUAUUGUAUCAGAACAGCCAAAAGAAGUUUGUCAGCCUACAGGGAAUUAUAUCAAAGGGAAGACUUGACCUUGAAAAUGAAUGAGGAAUAUAAGAAAUUGAUAUUAUCUGGGAAUUCACUGAAUGUCUAUCUAUCAUGUAUGCUGUUGGAGGCACCUGUCUUUCAGUUCAGAGGUUAUGGAUGUAUCUAUCAUCAGUAUUUCGGGAAGUCAGGGACCCCGAACAGAUGGACUUAAUGAAGCUGUGGCAGAAGAACAAAUUGUGAAGAUUUCAUGGACAUUUAUUAGUUCCCCAAAUUAAUACUUUUAUAAUUUCUUACACCUGUCUUUACUGCACUCUCUGAACAUAAAUUGUGAAGAUUUCAUGGACAGUUAUCACUUCCCCAGUCAACACGCUUAUAAUUUCCUAUGCCUGUCUUUACUUUAAUCUCUUAAUCCCAUCAUCUUUGUAAGCUGAAGAUGUAUGUCCCUCAGGACCCUGUGAUGAUUGCGCUAUCUGCACAAAUUGUUUGUAAAGCAUAUGUUUUUGAACAGUAUGAAAUCUGGGCAUCUAGAAAAGGAACAGGAUAACAACGAUUUUCAGGGAACAAGGGAAAUAACCAUUAGGUCUGACUGCCGGGGAGCCGGGCAGGACCAAGUCAUAUUUCUCUUAUUGUCAAAAACGGGUAAGAGAAAUAUUGCUGAAUUCUUUCCCCAGUAAGGAAUAUUAAUAAUUAACAACCCUGGGAAAAGAAUGCAUUCCUGGGGGGAGGCCUCUAAAAUGGCCGCUCUGGGAAUGUCUGCCUUAUGCAGUUGUAGAUAGGGAUGAAACAUGCCCUGGUCUCCUGCAGCGCCCCCAGGCUUGCUAGGAUUAGGAAAUCCAGACUGGUGAAUUUUAGACAGACUGGUUGCCUGCUCUCAAACCCUAUCUUCUGAAAAGAUAUUAUCAAUGACAAUGUGUGCCCGGUGGUACAUGAGACUUCCUCAGCAAUUCUAAUUUUGCCCUGAUCAUGUGAUCUCACUCUGCCCCCAUCUGCCUUGUGAUAUUUUAUUGCCCUUGAAGCAUGUGAUCUCUGUGACCCACACCCUAUUCGUACACCCCUCCCCUUUUGAAAUCCAUAAUAAAAUCUUGCUAGUUUUGUGGCUGAAGGGGCAUCACAGAACCUGCCGACAUGUGAUGUCUCCCCCAGACACCUAGCUGUAAAAUUUCUCUCUUUUGUACUCUUUCCCUUUAUUUCUUAGACCAGCUGACACUUAGGGAAAAUAGAAAAGAAACUAUGUUGAAAUAUUGGGGGCUGGUUCCCCCAAUACAUUUCGACCUUGGAGAAUCUGAUGAUUUUGUGCCUGAUGGUUUUCUUUUGUAGUAUCUUGUUGGGGUUCUCUGCAUUUCCUGAUUUGAAUGUUGGCCUCUAGGUUGGGAGAAUUUUCAUGGAUGAUAUCCUUAAACAUGUUUUCCAAGUUGCUUACUUUCUCUCCCUCUCUUUCAAGGAUUCAAAUGAGACAUAGAUUUGUUCUCUUUACAUAAUCCCGUAUUUCUUGGAGGUUUUGUUCAUUCUUUUUUAUUCUUUUUUAUUUUUAUCUGACUGUGUUAGUUUGGAGAACCUGUCUUCAAGUGCUGAGAUUCUUUCCUCAGCUUGGUCUAUUCUGUCGUUAAUACUAGCAAUUGCAUUAUGAAAUUCUUGUUGUGUGUUUUUCAGCUCUAUCAGGUCAGUUUGGUUCUUUCUUAUACCAACCAUUUUAUCUUUUAGUUCCUGUAUCAUUUUAUUGUAAUCUUUAGAUUCCUUGGAUUGGGUUUCAACUUUCUGCUGAAUCUUGAUGAUCUUCAUUCUUAUCCAUAUUCUGAAAUAUAUUUUUGUCAUUUCAGCCAUUUCAGCCUGGUUAAGAAGGCUUUCUGGGGAAUUAGUGUAGUCAUAUGGGGGAAAGAAAACACUGUGGCUUUUUGAAUUGCAGAGUUUCUGUGUGGGUUCUUUGUUAUUGUGUGAGCUGAUGGUCCUUUAACUGCAGUGUACAGUGAGGUGACUUCUUUUCUUGAUGUUUUCAGAAGGCUGAGACUUUGUGCAAAGUCUUUAGUUGUUGCUGAGUUCUUCUUCUUGGUUUCACAAGGGGGUAUAUUAGCAAAAUAUUUUGAUGUUGAAGUUUGGGCUGUGAUCUAGUAGAUGGUUCUUAAGCAUAAUGAACUGUACAUAGUCUCUUGCUCAGCCAUGUGACUCCUCUGUAUUUCCUCACAAUUGCAGCCUGCUUUCUCUCAGGGCCUGGAAAGUGUGGGCUCCUCUCCCACUCGAGUGCUGGCUGCAGAUCUUGGCUUGGCAAUCCCGAACUGUACACCACUGUCCUGGGGUGAACUCAGCUUUUUAGGCUUUAUUUUCCUUCCCCAGCUUGUAAGCAAGAGGAGAAGCUACCUUGGCAGCAGCUGAGGCAGAAGGCCUUUCACUUGUUUCUUGGAUCUCCACUCCACAGAAAUGCAGAAUCACUACCAAUGGGUGCAAUUAGCCUGGGAUGGGGAGGCUGAGUUGUGGGCCUGAGCCUGGGGAACUCUGCCUGGUGGCAAGCAGGGUACCAAGGAAAUGGGGCAGGCUCUUGGAGGAGGCAGACUGGCUUCUUCUUCUCCUUAGGGCAACUGCAACUGCAACUUUUGGGUAAAGCACUUAUAGUCUUUGUUCUUUCCCCAGUCUGAGGGCAGCAAGGGCAGUACCACUGCAGCAGCAGUAGCAGAGGGGCUUUUAGUUGCUGCUAGGUGCCCCUCCCCUAGGGAAACACAGAGCCACUAGCAGUGGAACGGUCAGCUCUGGGUGAGGUGGCUGUUCUGUAGUCCCAAGCUGAGGCUCCUACCUGCUGAAGACUGGGUAGGGACUCACAGGGGAUAGAGACUGAAUUCCUCUCCAUAUGGUGGCUGCAGCAUGCUAGAUAUCCUGGCAUAGCAACCAGGCCCUUUGUGCUUUCCCCAGCUCAAGGGAUAGUAAGGAUGGUACCACUGCAUUUGCAAUGGUAGAGAGCUGUGGGUUGUCUCUGGGAUUUCCUCCAUAGAGAAAGGCAGAGCCACCAUCCACUGCAGUGUUCAGGCAUGGUUAUGGUGUUUGUGCUGGGAGCCCAGGUUGAGAGGCACUGCCCAGUGAAGAUUAGUGGAGAUAGGACCUGUGUGUAAAACAGUCUGGCUGCUUUUCUGUAAGGCUGCUGUGCUGUGCUGGGGGCCAAUGUUACUUCCUAAUUAUUAUUGCAUUUCCUCCUGAACCUGAGGGCAAUAGGAGUGAGGGCUGCAGAGCAGCAAAAAUGGUGGCCUACCUUUCCCUCUGAGAGCUCUGUCCCAGGAAAGUUCAGAGCUGCUACCAGCUCAAGAGCCCAGGCCCAGUAUGGCUGGCGUCCCAGGUUGGGAGGCCCUGCCCUGUGAGGAAUAGUGGGUUCAGGGACCCACGUGGAAAACUGGCUGCUUUUCCGUCAGGUGGAGUUACAUCACUGGGGGUCCAUGUUAGUCUCCAAUCACUUUGUACCCUCCCAAGCCUAAGGGCAAUAGGGCCGAGGGUUGCAGAGCAGCAAAAAUGUCAGCCUGCCCCUUCCUCUGGGACCUCCAUCUCAGCGAAGUGGAGAGCUGCUCCCAGCCCAAGAACUCAAACAGGGUUGGGGCAACCUCGUUAGCAUCCCAGGCCAGUGAGCUGUAUCCUGCCCUGCGAGUUGCAGUGGAGGUGAGGCCUGCAGUCCCUCAUUGCUCAGCCUUGUAGAUUCAGGCCCUUUCCUGGGAGCCUGCAAAGGAGCCUGGCCUCCCCCAUUGCCAGAACUGCAGCUACUGGUGUUGGGGUGCUGGAGAAUCCAAGGCUCCUGCGACUCUGCUUGUGCCUGUGUGGCUUGGUCUGCUCAGACUCCCCACAGCACUUCCUGUGGGUGUGGAGACUCCUGUGUUGGGAAAUCACAGGGAAUGUCCUGAGCCCAGGGAUGUAAAGGCUGUAGCAGAAGUAUGAGUCCCUGCAGACUGUCACUCAGUCACUCAUCAUUUCCCCACAGUGUGGGGGUCUCCUCUAGCUCCAUGCCAGUUCCAGGUAGGCAGUUGUCCUAUCUUGCUCUUCUCUGUUCUCUGUGGGUAACAUUGUUUCCUUGAUGAAUCCCAAUGUGUCCACCUGGAUGUUCUAGUUGAAGAGCUAGUGUUACUUGUUACUUUUCCUUCUUUCCAUGAGAGCAGCACACACUAGCUGCUUCUAGUCAGCCAUCUUGGCCCCAGAACCUGGUUUUCUCAUAUUUUUGACUUGUGAUUUAUGAUGCAAAAGAAGUGUCAGUUUGUGGACACAUCAGAAAUUACAUUAACUGUUUCUGAUAUUUCAUCUCCAAAUAAAAAUCAAACCUGUACUAUCUUUCCACACUUGUUAUUAAUUGAAAUAUUUAAACCUCUCAACUGCUAAAUAGAUCUCUAAAUUAUGUGACUACUGCAAGACCAUGUAAGUGGCUUGGCACUGUUAGAUGGGGUGCUUUAUUACAACCUAAUGAAUUAAGUGUACUAAAUUUUUAAUCAUUAAUUUCUAGUAUCAAAAUGGUGAGUAUAAGGUGUGAAGUUUUAUUUAAUGACUUAAUUUUGAGUCUUAGUUCCAGGAAAGACUUCUAAAUUAGAAUUCACCCUAGGAUAAUUACAAUUGUAUUUGCAAAUUGGAAGCAUUACAGAAUUCAUUAAAAACAUUUUAUUUAGAAAACACCCCUGCUGCUUAUGGCAAUAACUUUUUUACAUGAUUAAGUGUCCAUGUGAGACAGCCUUUAAAAAUUAUGUAUAUCCAUGCAAUUUAUAAGCUUUAAUUAAAAAAUCAAUAAUGAAUGUAGACAUUUGCUUGCUUCCCCUUUACCUUCUGCCAUGAUUUUAAGUUUCCUGAGGCCUUUUCAGCCAUGCUGAACUGUGCAUCAAUUAAACCUCUUUCCAGUUACCCAGUCUUGGGCAGUUCUUUAUAGCAGUAUGAAAACGGACACAUACAGUAAAUUGGUACUGCAGAGACUGGGGUGCUGCUAUAAAGAUAUCUGAAAAUGUGGAAGAGACUUUGGAACUGGCUAACAGGUACAGGUUGAAAUGGUUUGGAGGGCUCAGAGGAAGACAGGAAGAUAUGGGAAAGCUUGGAACUUCCUGGAGACUUGUUGAAUGGCUUUGACCAAAAUGCUGAUAAUGAUGUGGACAAUGAAAUCUAGGCUGAACUGGUCUCAGAUGGAGAUGAGGUACUUGUUGGGAACUGGAAUAAAGGUUUUCCUUGCUAUGCUUUAGCAAAGAGACUAGCAGCAUUUUGCCCCUGCCCUAGAGAUCUGUGAAACUUUGAACUUGAGAGAGAUGAUUUAGGGUACCUGGUGGAAGAAAUUUCUAAGCAGCAAAAUGUUCAAGAUGUGACUUUGGUGCUCUUAAAAGCAUUCAUUUUUAUGCAUUCAUAAAGAGAUGGUUUGGAGUUGAAACUUAUGUUUAAAUGGGAAGCAGAGCAUAGAAGUUUGGAAAAUUUGCAGCCUGAUGAUGUGGUAGAAAAGAAAAACCCAUUUUCUGAGGAGAAAGUCAAGCCAGCUACAGAAAUUUGCAUAAGUAACAAGGAGCCAAAUGUUAAUCACCAAGACAAUGCAAAAAAUGUCUCCAGGGAAUGUCAGAGGACUUCACAGCAGACCUUCCCAUCAGAAGCCCAGAGGCCUAGGAGGAAAAAUGGUUUCAUGGGACAGGCCCAGUGCCUUGGGCAGUCUCGUGACUUGGUGCCCUGCGUGAAUCACAAAAAUCACUAAUGUAUGUAGACAUUUGUCUGUCUAAUGUGUAUUUAGUUCAUUGAUAUUUUUACAUUUAUUGGAUGUAUUUUUAAUGUUUUUUUCCUCUAUUCACUUAUUUAGACUGCUAGCCAACUGGGUUAGGACUAGGCUAUCACAUCAUUCUUUGACCUGUGUCACUUGGUCUGACCUUUCUGAAAACCAAGAGUUUGUUCCAGAUAAACCCAAGAAACUAGUGAAUUAUUCUCCAGAAAUGAGAAAUAGAGAUGACAGAUACAAGUUCCCUAAUUUUCCUAUUAGUGCCCAAUUUUUCUUACUUCAAAUAAAAAUAUUAUAAAUACAUGAAAAUGUAAUCACAAUGAACUUUUACUAUUUCAGUGAUAUGAGUAAUAUCAGUGUCAGGAAACACCAAAGAUCUUGUAGAACUACUGAGUGUCUGAUGAAAGGAUUGCUUGGUGAUAUAACCCUUACAUGUCAAGGGAGAGACCAGGUGGAGGUAAUUGGAUCAUGGGAGCCUGAGCUGUACAUUGGCCCCUUUUAGCCAAUGUAAAGAGCUUCAGAGGGUGCAAGCCCCAAGCCUUGGCAGCUUUCAUGUGGUGUUGGGGCUGUGGGUGCACAGAAGUCAAGAAUUGAGGUUUGGGAACCUCUGACUAGAUUUCGGAGGACCUAUAGAAACACCUGAAUGUCCAGGCACAGGUGUGCUGCAGUAGCACAGCCCUCAUGGAGGACCUCUGCUAGGACAGUUUGGAAGGGAAGCUUGGGGUCAGAGCCCCCACACGGAGUCCCCACUGGGGCACUGCCUAGUGGAGCCAUGAGAAGAGGGCCACCAAUCCAGACCCCAAAGUGGUAGAUCCACAAACAGCUUGCACUUUAUGCCUGGAAAAGCCACUGAAUGCCAGCCUGUGAAAGCAGCUGGAUUAGGGGGUUGUACCCUGCAAAGCCACAGAGGUGGAGCUGCCCAAGACCAUCAAAGCCUACCUCUUACAUCAGUGUGACCUAGAUGUGAGACAUGGAGUCAAAGGAGAGAAUUUUGGAGCUUUAAGAAUUGACUGCCGUGCUGGAUUUCAGACUUGCAUGGGGUCUGCAGCCCCUUCAUUUUGGCCAGUUUCUCCCAUUUAGAAUGGCUGUAUUUACCCAAUGCCUGUAACCUCAUUGUAUCUAGGAAGUAAUUAAAUUGCUUUUGAUUUUAUAGGCUUAUAGGUGGAAGGGACUUGCCUUGUCUCAGAUGAGAUCUUGGACUCAUACUUUUGAGUUAAUAUUGGAAUGAAUUAAGACUUUGGGUGACUGUUGAGAAGGCAUGAUUACUUUUGAAAUGUGAAAGCGACAUGAGAUUUGGGAGGGGCCAGGGGCAGAAUGAUAUGGCUUUGUGUCCCCACACAAAUCUCAUCUUGAUUUAUAAUCCCCAUAAUCCUUAUAAUCCCCUCACGUCAAGGGAGAGACCAGAUGGAGAUAAUUGAAUCAUGGGGGUGGCAUCCCCCAUGCUGUUCACAUGAUAGUGAGUUCUCACAAGAUCUGAUGGUUUUAUAAGGGGCUCUUCCCCUUUUGCUGGGCACUUCUCCUUCCUGCCACCUUGUGAAGAAGGUGCUUUGCUUCCCCUUUGCCUUCUGCCAUGAUUGUUUUCCUGAGGUCUUCCCAGCCAUGCUGAACUGUGAGUCAACUAAACCUCUUUUCUUUAUAAAUUACCCAGUCUCUGGCAGUUCUUUAUAGCAUUAUGAAAAUGGACUAAUACACUUGGGCAACUGACAUUAAAGCACUGGGUUUGGAAGAUAUUACAUUUCACUAUCAUGAAUGUGUAAGACAUUUAUCCAGUAUCCCUCUUGAAUCUGAUUUUAAUUUAGGCAUCAAAAAUUUUGACAAGUAAGGUGCUCAAGUCUGAAUGUUUUGUUUUGAAUAUAUAUAUUUAUAUGUAUUUUAUAUAUA